RNAcentral lists this ribosomal RNA (301 nucleotides) under uncultured bacterium. RNAcentral describes it as "partial 16S ribosomal RNA". It matches the Rfam family "Bacterial small subunit ribosomal RNA", at positions 509 to 807 of the family's 1533-position model. The record is from RNAcentral.
CAGCCGCCGCGGGAAUACAGAGGGUGCAAGCGUUAAUCGGAUUUACUGGGCGUAAAGGGCGCGUAGGUGGUUAUGUAAGUGAGAUGUGAAAUCCCCGGGCUCAACCUGGGAACUGCAUCUUAUACUGCGUAGCUGGAGUGCAGUAGAGGGUAGUGGAAUUUCCGGUGUAGCGGUGAAAUGCGUAGAUAUCGGAAGGAACACCAGUGGCGAAGGCGGCUACCUGGACUGACACUGACACUGAGGCGCGAAAGCGUGGGGAGCAAACAGGAUUAGAUACCCCCGUAGUCCCUGUCUCUUAUAC